This 202-nucleotide ribosomal RNA is filed under the name uncultured bacterium. Its description in RNAcentral is "partial 16S ribosomal RNA". It matches the Rfam family "Bacterial small subunit ribosomal RNA", at positions 130 to 334 of the family's 1533-position model. The record is from RNAcentral.
CCGAUGGAGGGGGAUAACUACUGGAAACGGUAGCUAAUACCGCAUAACGUCGCAAGACCAAAGAGGGGGACCUUCGGGCCUCCUGCCAUCGGAUGUGCCCAGAUGGGAUUAGCUAGUAGGUGGGGUAACGGCUCACCUAGGCGACGAUCCCUAGCUGGUCUGAGAGGAUGACCAGCCACACUGGAACUGAGACACGGUCCAG